AGUCCAACGGAGGGAAGAUGGUCCAGAGCAGGGCAUCCCAGCAGGCCUUAUGGGAAAAGGACAAUGGAUGUGGCCAGUACAGGUCACAGGAGCACUGCAUCAGGGCCAACUCCAUAGCACAGGGCCACUGCAACACAGGGGCAUCAGCCACGCUGGUGAACAGGAACCUUCCCCAUCCCAGCGAGGGAAGAACUUCUACUGUGUGCAGCAGCCCCUCACCCCCACUCCUGGCAGCACUGGGGAAGUGGCUUUUGUGAGGGUCCCUUCAAACAAGGAUGUUCUUGUCUGAGAGAAGGGAAAAAAGAUAAAACAGAGAGUGAUCUGCAGGAAACCAGACCAGAUGACAGAGAAUUUGCUUCCGGAUAUCUUGGCCAGGAAGCUGUGGGGAUUGCUUUGCCUUCUUCCCUGACACCUGCAGGUCCUGCUCACCUCUGGCAUGGCCACACCAGCAAUAGGACUGCUGGUGUCAGGUGGGGUGGGAUGCCACUGUGCCCAGAGUGGUAUCUGCUGUCCCACUGUGCUCAGCAUGAAGCUUUUGCACUACUGCAUCCCUACUACCCACAUCCUUGUUGCAUACCUACUGCAUUCCUGUUGCAUCUCUACUGCAUCCCUGCUACAUUCCUACUGCAUCCCUACUGCAUCCCUGCUGCUUCCCUACUGCAUCCAUCCCUGUUGCUUCCCUGCUUGCAUCCCCACUGCAUUCCUGUCUGCAUCCCUACUGNNNNNNNNNNCCCCUGCAUCCCUACUGCAUCCCUGUUGGUUCCCUACUGCAUCCCUGCCUGCAUCCCUACUGCAUCCAUCCUUGCCUGUAUCCUUGCCUGCAUCCCUGUUGGUUCCCUACUGCAUCCCUGCCUGCCUCCCUACUGCAUCCAUCCUUGCCAGCAUCCAUCCCUGCUGCGUCCCUGCCUGCAUCCCUACUGCAUCCCUGUUGGUUCUCUUCCUGCAUCCCUGCUGCAUCCCUGCCUGCAUCCCUGUUGCAUUUUACUGCAUCUCCAUUGCAUCCCUGCCUGCAUUCCUUCUACAUCUAUCCCUGCUACAACUACCUGCUAUCUCUACCUAUAUCCCUACCUGCAUCCCGCUCCCCCCAUCCCCUUCCGCUCACGUUCCCACCCGCACGAUCCCCACUCCCGCAGCCCCGGCACAGCCCCCCAUCCCUCGCGGCCGCACUUUGGGUACCCGCACCCCCUCCAUUGCCCCCGGAGCCGCUCCCACUGCUCUCCGCCUCCGCGGGGCGGUGCGCGGGGUCCCCUUAUUAAAGGUGAAGCGCCGCGGGGCGCGGGGGGACGCGGGGCGAUGGAUUACGCGGAGGCGGAUUAUUACUACGGGGAGGCGGAGGAGGAGGAGGAGGAGGGCAACGGGACGGCGUGCGCCUGGCAGGCGGACUGGGAGGCGUCCUUCUCGCUGCUGCCCGCGCUCUACGCGCUGGUCUUCGUGCUGGGGCUGGCGGGCAACGCGCUGGUUUUGCUGACGGUGUGGCGCGGCCCCCGAGNNNNNNNNNNNNNNNNNNNNNNNNNNNNNNNNNNNNNNNNNNNNNNNN
Molecule: long non-coding RNA, 1537 nt
Filed under: Chrysolophus pictus (golden pheasant)
Lineage: Eukaryota; Metazoa; Chordata; Aves; Galliformes; Phasianidae
Description: lncRNA (ENSCPIG00010003273.1)
Source: RNAcentral